AAAAAGAUGAACUUUUUCAAAUGAAUAUAAAGAAAGAAAGAAAGUCGAAUAGUCCUUCUAGGUAAAGCAACGGAUCAAAAACAGAAAAACCAAAUUCCAAAGAAAGAAUGAACUAAAAAGGGUGUUUUGAAUAUACAAUCACUUUCAAAACCGCUCAAACGAUGUCGCUCCCUCUUCAAAAAAAAUCUUUCAAGAAACCAAAAUAAACAGACCUCUACAUACACUUCCUGUAUGUAUAUAUAUAGUAUUAAAGAUAGAAGAAAGUUGUUUUAAU
This 274-nucleotide unclassified non-coding RNA is filed under the name Hevea brasiliensis (rubber tree). Lineage: Eukaryota; Viridiplantae; Streptophyta; Magnoliopsida; Malpighiales; Euphorbiaceae. The record is from RNAcentral.